CCUACGGGAGGCAGCAGUAGGGAAUCUUCCACAAUGGACGAAAGUCUGAUGGAGCAACGCCGCGUGAGUGAAGAAGGGUUUCGGCUCGUAAAGCUCUGUUGGUAGUGAAGAAAGAUAGAGGUAGUAACUGGCCUUUAUUUGACGGUAAUUACUUAGAAAGUCACGGCUAACUACGUGCCAGCAGCCGCGGUAAUACGUAGGUGGCAAGCGUUGUCCGGAUUUAUUGGGCGUAAAGCGAGUGCGGGCGGUUCAAUAAGUCUGAUGUGAAAGCCUUCGGCUCAACCGGAGAAUUGCAUCAGAAACGGGUUGACUUGAGUUCAGAAGAGGAGAGUGGAACUCCAUGUGUAGCGGUGGAAUGCGUAGAUAUAUGGAAGAACACCAGUGGCGAAGGCGGCUCUCUGGUCUGCAACUGACGCUGAGGCUCGAAAGCAUGGGUAGCGAACAGGAUUAGAUACCCCUAGUAGUC
This 466-nucleotide ribosomal RNA is filed under the name uncultured bacterium. RNAcentral describes it as "partial 16S ribosomal RNA". It matches the Rfam family "Bacterial small subunit ribosomal RNA", at positions 338 to 795 of the family's 1533-position model. The record is from RNAcentral.